This 168-nucleotide ribosomal RNA is filed under the name uncultured bacterium. Its description in RNAcentral is "partial 16S ribosomal RNA". It matches the Rfam family "Bacterial small subunit ribosomal RNA", at positions 1334 to 1500 of the family's 1533-position model. The record is from RNAcentral.
GCUAGUAAUGGCAGGUCAGCAUACUGCCGUGAAUACGUUCCCGGGCCUUGUACACACCGCCCGUCACACCAUGAGAGUUAGGAAUACCCGAAGCCUGUGAGCUAACUUUAAUAGAGGCAGCAGUCGAAGGUAGAACUAAUGAUUGGGGUGAAGUCGUAACAAGGUAAC